AAUACAUGCAAGUCGAACGAACUCUGGUAUUGAUUGGUGCUUGCAUCAUGAUUUACAUUUGAGUGAGUGGCGAACUGGUGAGUAACACGUGGGAAACCUGCCCAGAAGCGGGGGAUAACACCUGGAAACAGAUGCUAAUACCGCAUAACAACUUGGACCGCAUGGUCCGAGUUUGAAAGAUGGCUUCGGCUAUCACUUUUGGAUGGUCCCGCGGCGUAUUAGCUAGAUGGUGGGGUAACGGCUCACCAUGGCAAUGAUACGUAGCCGACCUGAGAGGGUAAUCGGCCACAUUGGGACUGAGACACGGCCCAAACUCCUACGGGAGGCAGCAGUAGGGAAUCUUCCACAAUGGACGAAAGUCUGAUGGAGCAACGCCGCGUGAGUGAAGAAGGGUUUCGGCUCGUAAAACUCUGUUGUUAAAGAAGAACAUAUCUGAGAGUAACUGUUCAGGUAUUGACGGUAUUUAACCAGAAAGCCACGGCUAACUACGUGCCAGCAGCCGCGGUAAUACGUAGGUGGCAAGCGUUGUCCGGAUUUAUUGGGCGUAAAGCGAGCGCAGGCGGUUUUUUAAGUCUGAUGUGAAAGCCUUCGGCUCAACCGAAGAAGUGCAUCGGAAACUGGGAAACUUGAGUGCAGAAGAGGACAGUGGAACUCCAUGUGUAGCGGUGAAAUGCGUAGAUAUAUGGAAGAACACCAGUGGCGAAGGCGGCUGUCUGGUCUGUAACUGACGCUGAGGCUCGAAAGUAUGGGUAGCAAACAGGAUUAGAUACCCUGGUAGUCCAUACCGUAAACGAUGAAUGCUAAGUGUUGGAGGGUUUCCGCCCUUCAGUGCUGCAGCUAACGCAUUAAGCAUUCCGCCUGGGGAGUACGGCCGCAAGGCUGAAACUCAAAGGAAUUGACGGGGGCCCGCACAAGCGGUGGAGCAUGUGGUUUAAUUCGAAGCUACGCGAAGAACCUUACCAGGUCUUGACAUACUAUGCAAAUCUAAGAGAUUAGACGUUCCCUUCGGGGACAUGGAUACAGGUGGUGCAUGGUUGUCGUCAGCUCGUGUCGUGAGAUGUUGGGUUAAGUCCCGCAACGAGCGCAACCCUUAUUAUCAGUUGCCAGCAUUAAGUUGGGCACUCUGGUGAGACUGCCGGUGACAAACCGGAGGAAGGUGGGGAUGACGUCAAAUCAUCAUGCCCCUUAUGACCUGGGCUACACACGUGCUACAAUGGAUGGUACAACGAGUUGCGAACUCGCGAGAGUAAGCUAAUCUCUUAAAGCCAUUCUCAGUUCGGAUUGUAGGCUGCAACUCGCCUACAUGAAGUCGGAAUCGCUAGUAAUCGCGGAUCAGCAUGCCGCGGUGAAUACGUUCCCGGGCCUUGUACACACCGCCCGUCACACCAUGAGAGUUUGUAACACCCAAAGUCGGUGGGGUAACCUUUUAGGAACCAGCCGC
RNAcentral lists this ribosomal RNA (1441 nucleotides) under Lactiplantibacillus plantarum. Its description in RNAcentral is "bacterial SSU rRNA". It matches the Rfam family "Bacterial small subunit ribosomal RNA". Lineage: Bacteria; Bacillati; Bacillota; Bacilli; Lactobacillales; Lactobacillaceae. The record is from RNAcentral.